RNAcentral lists this ribosomal RNA (252 nucleotides) under uncultured bacterium. RNAcentral describes it as "partial 16S ribosomal RNA". It matches the Rfam family "Bacterial small subunit ribosomal RNA", at positions 524 to 776 of the family's 1533-position model. The record is from RNAcentral.
UACGUAGGUGCCGAGCGUUAUCCGGAUUUAUUGGGCGUAAAGCGAGCGCAGGCGGUUAGAUAAGUCUGCAGUGAAAGGCCGUGGCUUAACCAGAGUAUGCUUUGGAAACUGUUUAACUUGAGUGCAGAAGGGGAGAGUGGAAUUCCAUGUGUAGCGGUGAAAUGCGUAGAUAUAUGGAGGAACACCGGUGGCGAAAGCGGCUCUCUGGCUUGUAACUGACGCUGAGGCUCGAAAGCGUGGGGAGCAAACAGG